AUUGCAGAACACAUUGAACAUCGAUAUCUUGAACGCAUAUGGCGGCCUCGGGUCCAUCCCGAGGCCACGCCCGUCUGAGGGUCGGCU
This 87-nucleotide ribosomal RNA is filed under the name Euconulus fulvus. RNAcentral's name for it is "partial 5.8S ribosomal RNA". It matches the Rfam family "5.8S ribosomal RNA", at positions 71 to 154 of the family's 154-position model. Rfam says of the family: 5.8S ribosomal RNA (5.8S rRNA) is a component of the large subunit of the eukaryotic ribosome. The record is from RNAcentral. RNAcentral also lists the same sequence under 1 other name. Lineage: Eukaryota; Metazoa; Mollusca; Gastropoda; Stylommatophora; Euconulidae.